GACGAACGCUGGCGGCGUGCUUAACACAUGCAAGUCGAACGGUGAAGCGCCUUCCUUUUUGGUGGGUGUGGUUGAGUGGCGAACGGGUGAGUAACACGUGAGUAACCUGCCUCCUUCUUCUGGAUAACCGCAUGAAAGUGUGGCUAAUACGGGAUAUUCUGGGUCUGUCGCAUGAUGGGUCUGGGAAAGAUAUUGUUUCGGUGGGGGAUGGGCUCGCGGCCUAUCAGCUUGUUGGUGGGGUGAUGGCCUACCAAGGCGGUGACGGGUAGCCGGCCUGAGAGGGUGGACGGUCACACUGGGACUGAGACACGGCCCAGACUCCUACGGGAGGCAGCAGUGGGGAAUAUUGCACAAUGGGCGCAAGCCUGAUGCAGCGACGCCGCGUGAGGGAUGGAGGCCUGCGGGUUGUGAACCUCUUUCGCCAGUGAAGCAGGCCUGCCUCGUUUGUGGGUGGGUUGACGGUAGCUGGAUAAGAAGCGCCGGCUAACUACGUG
RNAcentral lists this ribosomal RNA (494 nucleotides) under uncultured bacterium. RNAcentral describes it as "partial 16S ribosomal RNA". It matches the Rfam family "Bacterial small subunit ribosomal RNA", at positions 28 to 507 of the family's 1533-position model. The record is from RNAcentral.